AAAAAACAAAUUUUAUUUAGUACGAAAGGAAUUUUAAAAUCUAAUUUUUUAGUAUUAUUUAUUUUAUUUGCAUCAAUUUUUGUAAUU
This 87-nucleotide ribosomal RNA is filed under the name Amblyomma fimbriatum (goanna tick). Its description in RNAcentral is "partial 16S ribosomal RNA". Lineage: Eukaryota; Metazoa; Arthropoda; Arachnida; Ixodida; Ixodidae. The record is from RNAcentral.